Molecule: ribosomal RNA, 587 nt
Filed under: uncultured bacterium
Lineage: Bacteria
Description: partial 16S ribosomal RNA
Rfam family: Bacterial small subunit ribosomal RNA
Source: RNAcentral
UGGGGAAUUUUGGACAAUGGGCGAAAGCCUGAUCCAGCAAUGCCGCGUGUGUGAAGAAGGCCUUCGGGUUGUAAAGCACUUUUGUCCGGAAAGAAAUCCUUGGCUCUAAUACAGUCGGGGGAUGACGGUACCGGAAGAAUAAGCACCGGCUAACUACGUGCCAGCAGCCGCGGUAAUACGUAGGGUGCAAGCGUUAAUCGGAAUUACUGGGCGUAAAGCGUGCGCAGGCGGUUUGCUAAGACCGAUGUGAAAUCCCCGGGCUCAACCUGGGAACUGCAUUGGUGACUGGCAGGCUAGAGUAUGGCAGAGGGGGGUAGAAUUCCACGUGUAGCAGUGAAAUGCGUAGAGAUGUGGAGGAAUACCGAUGGCGAAGGCAGCCCCCUGGGCCAAUACUGACGCUCAUGCACGAAAGCGUGGGGAGCAAACAGGAUUAGAUACCCCUGGUAGUCCACGCCCUAAAACGAUGUCAACUAGUUGUUGGGGAUUCAUUUCCUUAGUAACGUAGCUAACGCGUGAAGUUGACCGCCUGGGGAGUACGGUCGCAAGAUUAAAACUUAAAUGAAUUGACGGGGUCAUAGCUGUUUCCU